GGUAUUGCAGGGCGUUGCAAUCUUGGCAUCACAAGUCCUGUGCUGUCCUCUCAUAAUUCACCUUUAGGCAGCGCUGGAAACGAAAGCCAGAGGUUUGUUUAUGUUUUGGGGGAGGGGACCUAUUUUUUGCGGGUGUGAGCGGGAUGGAGGAUAGGCAGGAGUUAUCUUGCUGCGGGGGGGGGGUGAGAAAGGAAGAGGAGUUUUGGUUGGGAAUGUUGUUUUCUUUACAGCGCUCUCCCUGGAUCGCAGGCAGCUGCCUCGAGCCAGGCUUGUUUUUCCUCGCACGCGUGGUGCUCCUCCCAACAGCUGGAUGCGUUGUAACCCGCUCUGCAUCGCACGCUGACAGUCGCUCCGCGGACCGGGGGGCUGAUUUCGGUGGGGACGGUUAUAGAGGGAGGGUGGGGUACCGGCGCACCGCUGUCCGAUUGCCUUUGCGGGGUUGUUUUGCAUGCUGAUGGGGAGCAGGGCUGAAGCCCUGUAGGUCUCCCAGCCCCUGGCCUUUCGGGAUGUGUGUGUGCGGUUUUUAAUGUUGCGCACUGUUAUUUUCCUUCGGGAUCCUGGCACUGGUUCCUUUCCGUCAAGCGAUUGUAAAUAUAGCCUGGAUCUUGUUUACAUGAAGCAUCCAGCGGGAGGAGCCUGGGAGGAGGAGGAGGAGGAGGAAGAUGGAGGAGUCUCCACGGCUCGCUGGGGUGAGCUUCCCAAACGGAGGAGGAGCCAAGACAGGGCUGGAGUCUCCCUCAAGCAGCCUGGAAGCUGCCUGGAAGGGGCCUCUAGGAGCUCUUGUUUCCAGAAAAGUGACUGAAUACUUGCCCACAGACCGUAGCUGAUGAAUGAUUAAUCAUGUUUUAGAGAUUUAUUUAUUUAAUUAUUCAUACAUUUGGUACACCAACAGCAGCAGUUAGAAUUCAUCUAUCAGACCGUUAACUCAACCACUAAUCAAUGUUUAAGAGGGGAAGGGAGUCAAAAAGACUAAAAGGUAAGUGUUGGUGGAAGGAAUCAAGCAGAACGUAGAUGAAGAAUGGAGAAGAUUUUAUAAACAGUUCCCAUUACGGAAGUUUCCUUGAUGGGAGAGUUUCAUAUUGUUGAAUGUACCUGUCUCCUACCUCACUUACAAGUGAAGAAGCAAAUCUUUAAAAACUAAUAAAGAAGAAUUUAAAGCUAUAGAAAAUUUUGCUUUAAUAACUGUCCUAGCACACUAGAGUCUUUCACGUCUUGGUGCUGUAAACUGCACUGUAGGGAGGAGCUCCUGCCAUAUUAAAAUUCCAGUAACUUUCCUAAGGAGUAAAGUCACUUACCCAGUAGCCAAAAGAUCAAUUAUAUCCCUGUAACUGUAGUUUUCUGCUCUUAAGAUCACACACAAAGUAAAAUAUUUGUAAUAAAGGUGGAUUUUUUCCACACUUUUCCUAGCUUUGGAUAAGACAGAUCUCUUCCUAGUCAGUGUCAGAGUUGGCCUAUAAAAAUCAGAGCUCUAAUUCCAAGCUACAUGCUAGGAGAAAAGGAAGAAAAGUUGUAUUUGUAGGGGGAGGAUAAAUAGCCAAUUUAGUUUUUAGACUCUAAUAAAAAGGAGUGUUGUAUAAUUCAAAACACUCAAGAAACGUGGUAAGUUACCAACCCCGAAAGAAGAGAGUAGUGGAAACGGGUGUGUGGGGUGGGAGACACGGAAAACAAGCAAAAAUAAAAACAAUGUGAAUAGAAUUUUUUUCAAACGCAAAAUCUGACAGCAAAAAACAGAACAUGGAUUUGAAAUUUUUAAAAUCAAGUUAAAGUAUUUGCAAUGCCUUAGAAAUAAGUUGAACAAAAAUACACACCGAAAAAUGCACUUGAGUAAAUUUAUGUAUACCACAUUGAGAUCAGAGGGACUACUCCUGUAUGUUUUCAGGAUUCAGACCUAUGUUACCUGACCAUUGAGGAAAGCUUUCUUUUUAUUCUAGAAAAGAAGGUGAGUGUUAAAUGGUGAGAAGGCAGAGUAAAUAGAUCCCCUUAUCAUCAGCAAAAUGUAAAUACAUCUAAAGUGUCCAGCCUUUGUGAUGUUAAUAGAAUGCUCUAAUGACAUUUUUGUACCUUUAUAUUGUUCACAUUUUUGAAAGCCAGGAAACACUUAUUUUUUAUAUAAAUCUUUAAUAAAUGUGUGCUCCUAGGUUACCUUACGGUUACUAUUUUCAGAAAAUGACAGUUUAGUCGAAGGAUGCUUAUAAAUUUGCAGUUGAUGGCAAAUAUAUAUCCUAAUAUUUUUGUACAUAUUUGCCCAUUCAUAUUUGCAUCCUGGAACAAUAUUGUAUAACAUAUUGACUGGUCCCUUGUUUAUGAAACAUAUGUUUGUAAUUUGUUUUAAAAAUGCACAAAUAUUUUUUCCAGGAAGCUGUGUUUCACAUUUGUCUCUUUAUUGCCCUCUUGUGUUUAAAAAUAUGUGAGAGACCAUUUUGGUAGUACUUGGGCCCAGCUGAAUGUUAAGCAUUUCUGAAUUUUAAAAGCAUUUUAUUUAACUUAAGGAAAUACAUUGUCAGUUUAGUUGGUUAUUUAUUAUGUUAUCCAUAAAGUUCUUGCUCUACCCUAUUAGAAAUAUUUAAGUACCACUUACACCAAUUAAGUCCAUCAAAUUCUUAAAUGGAACAUUAUGUGAAAUGUAAAAUCUAUUUAUCACUUCCUUUCCAUUGUGAAACCUGAUGAAACAUUUAUUUUAAUAUGCUGAUCAUUACAGAACUGAUUCACUAGAUUAGAUGCCUUUAUUCAAAGAGAAAAACUGCCAUGACUUUUUCAGCAGUACUUCAAACAUAAACCAGAGAAAAUAUUUUGAUAAACCUCCUUCAUUGUUUGCAAUGUAAUUCUUGAUUUCAGCAGUUUUCAUUUAGACCUCAGUGUAUGGCCCAAAUCAACCAUCGCACAGCCUGAACAAACAAGCCCGUCAGACAGCAACUCUUCCUUCAAACUCCAGGAUCCUUUCCACAUCCAGUGCUUGUUACUAUUUUGGAUUUGAUCCUGCUCCCACUGAAAUCAAUGGCAAAACUUCAAUGGGAGUAGGAUUGGGCCUCAAAGGAUCCCAGUGCUGCAGACGCACCUGUUGGAACUUUAGCACAUCUGUAAGCAUUUGCAGAAUGGAGGCAUGAGAUGGUACUGUGAAUCCCACAAGACAGAAACCUUGUCUUUUUUGUGUGUCAAGGCCCUAGCACUUUCCGUGUGGAACAUACUACUUUGAAACUUAAAAGAUAUUAUAGCCACAUAAUUAGCUAAACUAUUAGAUAAUGGGUCCAGAUCCUCCACCAGUGUAAAUUUGUGCAGCUUCAUUGUCUUAAGUGGAACUAUGCCAAUUGUACCAGUUGAGGAUCUUGCCUAUGUAAUUUAUGUAUGGGAACAGCACUCUACUUCAAAUGCUGAUUGAAACUGAAAAAAAAAAAAAAAAAAAAAAGAAGAGGGGAAAAUACCCUCAUUCCAUCAGUGAUUAUCUCCUCAGAAUGAGUACAUUAUUUCCCCCCUGUUAAAUACAGUAUCAGUAGAUUUGGAUUUUUAAGACUGUUAUUGGUAAAAGAUUGUACAGCUCUGAAAAAUACUUUAAAGUUGCAUUGAAUUUAACUGCACUGAUACCAGUUAACCAGGUAAUUUUCAAAAAGAGUGGAUAAAUUAACUGAAGUUUCAGAACACUUUGUUCAUUUCCACAUGUAUUUAUUAAACAUGCAUCAUCCGUGUCCUCGGAGAGCUGAACAUCAGUAUUUGAUGUGAUCUUUAUUUUUGAAACAUGCACAAGAGGAAACACUAUGUAAGCACACAAUAAAUUAAGCACUAUUCUCUAUAUGAUACUAACAGACAUAAUGACUGACAGGCUGCCCUGGCUCAGUUAUCACAGUGCUGAUGCUGUCUAUUCUAAAGGUACAGUACUGUGAUAACUGAAGGAUGGCAGCCAUCUUAGCUUCACAAGAACCCAACGAGCAGAAAUCAGAGAAGACGUCCUUAUUUUCUGGAUACCGGACAUGCUUUGUUUAUGAAAGUGACCAGGUGCUCGAGCAGAAAGAUGCUUGUUGUAAGGGUACAUCUUAACUCACUUGAAGAAAAGAAUAAAUGGCUUAAAAAAAGACCUUUAGUUCUACUGGAAUAAAAAAAAUCACUUUA
This is a long non-coding RNA of Chrysemys picta bellii (western painted turtle), 4101 nucleotides long. RefSeq lists it as uncharacterized. Lineage: Eukaryota; Metazoa; Chordata; Testudines; Emydidae. The record is from RefSeq and is a predicted model, not a curated record.